GCACCCGUCGCUUCGGCGACGGGGAGGUUUUCAAAGAACACUUGUGUCGCCCGUGCUCGAACCAAUUNUGAAUUCUUUUUCUAUCACGCUGUGACUGGAUCCAAGCNAAGUAUUCUCUGCCAAGAGAAUUGUAAUUGAAAGGAAAACAACCCUGAACGGUGGAUCACUCGGCUCGUGGGUCGAUGAAGAACGCAGCAAAUUG
This 202-nucleotide ribosomal RNA is filed under the name Neoconocephalus maxillosus. Its description in RNAcentral is "partial 5.8S ribosomal RNA". The stretch from base 148 to 202 matches the Rfam family "5.8S ribosomal RNA", at positions 1 to 55 of the family's 154-position model. Lineage: Eukaryota; Metazoa; Arthropoda; Insecta; Orthoptera; Tettigoniidae. The record is from RNAcentral.